GCCGGGAUGGCUCAGUUGGNAGAGCAGAGGACUGAAAAUCC
This 41-nucleotide transfer RNA is filed under the name Solms-laubachia zhongdianensis. Its description in RNAcentral is "partial tRNA-Phe". The record is from RNAcentral. Lineage: Eukaryota; Viridiplantae; Streptophyta; Magnoliopsida; Brassicales; Brassicaceae.